Molecule: transfer RNA, 87 nt
Filed under: Escherichia coli
Lineage: Bacteria; Pseudomonadati; Pseudomonadota; Gammaproteobacteria; Enterobacterales; Enterobacteriaceae
Also listed under: 1 other name
Description: tRNA-Leu
Rfam family: tRNA
About the family: Transfer RNA (tRNA) molecules are approximately 80 nucleotides in length. Their secondary structure includes four short double-helical elements and three loops (D, anti-codon, and T loops).
Source: RNAcentral
GCGAAGGUGGCGGAAUUGGUAGACGCGCUAGCUUCAGGUGUUAGUGCCCCCCCGGGUGUGAGGGUUCGAGUCCCUCUCUUCGCACCA